CGCGAAAACUUUACAAUGCGGGAAACCGUGAUAAGGGGACACCGAGUGCCAGCAUCAUAUGCUGGCUGUCCGGGUGUGUAAAAUACACCUGUUAGCAAGGGCCGGGCAAGACCGGUGCCAGCCGCCGCGGUAACACCGGCGGCCCGAGUGGUGAUCGUGAUUAUUGGGUCUAAAGGGUCCGUAGCCGGUUUGGUCAGUCCUCCGGGAAAUCUGAUAGCUCAACUAUUAGGCUUUCGGGGGAUACUGCCAGGCUUGGAACCGGGAGAGGUAAGAGGUACUACAGGGGUAGGAGUGAAAUCUUGUAAUCCCUGUGGGACCACCUGUGGCGAAGGCGUCUUACCAGAACGGGUUCGACGGUGAGGGACGAAAGCUGGGGGCACGAACCGGAUUAGAUACCCGGGUAGUCCCAGCCGUAAACGAUGCUCGCUAGGUGUCAGGCAUGGCGCGACCGUGUCUGGUGCCGCAGGGAAGCCG
This 474-nucleotide ribosomal RNA is filed under the name uncultured Methanosarcina sp. Its description in RNAcentral is "bacterial SSU rRNA". It matches the Rfam family "Archaeal small subunit ribosomal RNA", at positions 340 to 814 of the family's 1478-position model. The record is from RNAcentral. Lineage: Archaea; Methanobacteriati; Methanobacteriota; Methanomicrobia; Methanosarcinales; Methanosarcinaceae.